RNAcentral lists this ribosomal RNA (397 nucleotides) under uncultured bacterium. RNAcentral describes it as "partial 16S ribosomal RNA". It matches the Rfam family "Bacterial small subunit ribosomal RNA", at positions 523 to 918 of the family's 1533-position model. The record is from RNAcentral.
AUACGUAGGGUGCGAGCGUUGUCCGGAAUGACUGGGCGUGAAGGGCGUGUAGGCGGCCGAUUAAGUCUGGAGUGAAAGUCCCGCUUUCAAGGUGGGAAUUGCUUUGGAGACUGGUUGGCUUGAGUGCGGAAGAGGUAAGUGGAAUUCCCAGUGUAGCGGUGAAAUGCGUAGAUAUUGGGAAGAACACCGGUGGCGAAGGCGCCUUUCUGGACUGUGUCUGACGCUCAGAUGCGAAAGCCAGGGUAGCGAACGGGAUUAGAUACCCCGGUAGUCCUGGCCGUAAACGAUGGGUACUAGGUGUGGGAGGUAUCGACUCCUUCCGUGCCGGAGUUAACGCAAUAAGUACCCCGCCUGGGGAGUACGGCCGCAAGGCUUAAACUCAAAUGAAUUGACGGGG